Molecule: transfer RNA, 74 nt
Filed under: Phylloecus linearis
Lineage: Eukaryota; Metazoa; Arthropoda; Insecta; Hymenoptera; Cephidae
Description: tRNA-Asp
Source: RNAcentral
UAAGAAUUAGUUAAACAAUAUAUAACAUUAAAUUGUCAAUUUAAAAUAAUUUAAUUAUAAUUAAAUAUUCUUAA